GCGGGUGUAGCUCAAUGGUAGAGCGCCUGCCUUCCAAGCAGGACACGAGGGUUCGAUUCCCUUCACCCGCU
This 71-nucleotide transfer RNA is filed under the name Pirellulaceae bacterium. It matches the Rfam family "tRNA". Rfam says of the family: Transfer RNA (tRNA) molecules are approximately 80 nucleotides in length. Lineage: Bacteria; Pseudomonadati; Planctomycetota; Planctomycetia; Pirellulales; Pirellulaceae. The record is from Rfam by way of RNAcentral.